RNAcentral lists this small RNA (28 nucleotides) under Bombyx mori (domestic silkworm). RNAcentral describes it as "ovarian small RNA-19330". The record is from RNAcentral. Lineage: Eukaryota; Metazoa; Arthropoda; Insecta; Lepidoptera; Bombycidae.
UAAGGUCGGCAACCAUCGUGCGCAUCUC